UACGUAGGGUGCAAGCGUUAAUCGGAAUUACUGGGCGUAAAGGGCGCGUAGGCGGUCAGCACAAGUCAGUUGUGAAAUCUCCGGGCUUAACUCGGAAAGGUCAACUGAUACUGUGCGACUAGAGUGCAGAAGGGGCAACUGGAAUUCUCGGUGUAGCGGUGAAAUGCGUAGAUAUCGAGAGGAACACCUGCGGCGAAGGCGGGUUGCUGGGCUGACACUGACGCUGAUGCGCGAAAGCCAGGGGGGCGAACGGG
RNAcentral lists this ribosomal RNA (254 nucleotides) under uncultured prokaryote. RNAcentral's name for it is "partial 16S ribosomal RNA". It matches the Rfam family "Bacterial small subunit ribosomal RNA", at positions 524 to 776 of the family's 1533-position model. The record is from RNAcentral.